This is a long non-coding RNA of Leopardus geoffroyi (Geoffroy's cat), 833 nucleotides long. RefSeq lists it as uncharacterized. The record is from RefSeq and is a predicted model, not a curated record. NCBI's taxonomy places the organism in Eukaryota, Metazoa, Chordata, Mammalia, Carnivora, Felidae. The transcript is spliced from 3 exons.
CACCCCACAUUUUGGGGGGUCUUUUAAGAAAGAAUGUUUCUUCUCUUUCUGAGAGCACUGAGAAACCUACUAUGAAACAAUCCCGUUUCUCAUUUUGGACAGCAUGAUUUGUGGAUGUAAAGUCUGGAACUGCCAUAGCUAUUUUGUCAACAUAAGGGACACACUGGCUUGAGGAUAAAGCUAAUAACAUGGAAGGCAGGACAGAGAAUUAGAAAGAAACUGGUUCGCUGAUGACAUCAUUGAACCAUGAAGCCUACCUUGCCUCUGGACUUUUCAGUCAUGUCAGCCAAUGAGCCCCUCCCCCCUUUAUUACUUAGGACAGUUUGAUUUUUGGUUAUUUGCAGUUUGAGUCCUAACUGGUUACUCCUGAGUCAUUAGCACAUAACUAGUAUGUAAGCCCAGGUAGAAAAUGUAGAGAGGAAAGACAGAGUCCUGGGGCAUUCAAACCUUAGAGAUUGGGCCAAGAAGAGGAACAUAAAAGAGAGAGGAGAAACUGACAGAAGCUUGAAAACCACGAGCUUGUCCAUGUUUGGAUGGAACCAUUCAGAGAAGAAUACAUAGAGGCUGCAGGAAAGAAGAAAAAUGGCAAAAGUAAUUCCUUGUACAGGUGAAGGCGCUGGGUGCCAGAGAGUGAGGGGAGAUGCUUCACAGGGGCAGCAACAUUCCUUUUCUUGUCAAAAGGGAGAGCACAGUACAUAAGCACGGAUAAAAGCAGAUGUGUGGAUUUGUGACCAGAAGAUGGAGAAGCCCCUGUUCGAUUUUCUGAGCUGAGUAUAACCUCUCUAGCUGCAUUAUUUCCGAAGAGCCAGCACAUCGAUCACAUCCACCUCCAG